CGGCCGCAGCGGCACGGGCCGGAGGCGAAGAGGGAGAGCCAGGCGAGGACGGGCGUGCCGAGGAGGACCAGCCCCGCGGGCACCAUCCAGAGCCGCGCGUGCGCCGGGUGGAACGCCAGCGCCCACCACACCAGCAGCGCCGCGCCGCCCAGGCCCACCGCCACCAGGCUCGCCGCCGUGGCGGCCACGGACGAGCAC
Molecule: ribosomal RNA, 198 nt
Filed under: Triticum aestivum (bread wheat)
Lineage: Eukaryota; Viridiplantae; Streptophyta; Magnoliopsida; Poales; Poaceae
Description: partial small subunit ribosomal RNA
Source: RNAcentral